RNAcentral lists this ribosomal RNA (265 nucleotides) under uncultured bacterium. RNAcentral describes it as "partial 16S ribosomal RNA". It matches the Rfam family "Bacterial small subunit ribosomal RNA", at positions 338 to 599 of the family's 1533-position model. The record is from RNAcentral.
CCUACGGGACGCAGCAGUGAGGAAUAUUGGUCAAUGGCCUGACGCCUGAACCAGCCAAGUCGCGUGAGGGAAGACUGCCCAAUGGAUUGUAAACUUCUUUUGUCAGGGAGCAAUUGGCGCUACGCGUAGCGUUAUCGAGAGUACCUGAAGAAAAAGCAUCGGCUAACUCCGUGCCAGCAGCCGCGGUAAUACGGAGGAUGCGAGCGUUAUCCGGAUUUAUUGGGUUUAAAGGGUGCGUAGGCGGAAUGUCAAGUCAGCGGUAAAA